RNAcentral lists this long non-coding RNA (2298 nucleotides) under Cyanistes caeruleus (blue tit). Its description in RNAcentral is "lncRNA (ENSCCEG00000001159.1)". Lineage: Eukaryota; Metazoa; Chordata; Aves; Passeriformes; Paridae. The record is from RNAcentral.
UUUUCUGGCUAAGUUUUCAACCUGUUUUAACCUACUCCUAAUGCAUAACUCCCGCCCCCACCCAAAAAAAAAAAGAAAAAAGAAAAAGAAAGAAAGGUGUAAGUUCCCUGGUGAUUGUAGCGUGUGCUAAAAGCAAUGUCAUUCUUUAGUACAUUAGCCAGAAAAGUAAAAUUAGCAGAUGUCAACCACUAGAAGGACAAGUCCAGUGAGGCGGUGCGGAGGGAGCUUUAGGCUGGUGUCAGACAGGCAGGCUGAUGAGGGAGCAUCAGGCAGACUUCCAGCAAUCCCUACGUGGCAGUGCUCACCACAAGGGCCGUUUCCCUGGCAAAAAUCCCCUCCCUGCUUCCAAGUACAUUAGACACUGGAGCAGGUGACACUUUCUUUCAUCUGUUGGUUGCUUGUUUUGCUAGGGGGAGAAGGCCGGUUCCUUAUUCCCUUGCUUCAGCAAAGAAAGUUACUUCUGCACAGGCUUUGCUGCACUUUUCCAGCACUGGAUGAGAUUCCCAUACACUUUUAGCUUUGCAGGCCUCCAGUAGGAACUGCAAAGGCAUUGUGCGCUAUUUCCUCCUUUUCUGUGUCAGGGCUUUAGAGAACUACAAGCCUUGUUUUCUCCAGGGAAUGUUGCUUGCUGCUAGUAGCCAAGGAGGAAUAUGGAAUUCAGAGCCAUAUGCAGUAGGCUUGAAUUAGCCCUUUUUUCCAUUUAACGGGAGUGACUUAGAAUCCCUUUGCUGUGCAAGCUGAUGAUUUCUCCUGAGUAGAGCAGGUUGGCUGUAGAUGUGAAAAGCAAGAAAGUUGGAAGUGAUAAGUAACGGCCUGUCCCUUGUGCUUGUCUCUUUGCACAGAGCCCAGAAGCAAGAGCAGUUUCAGCCCUGGCUCCCUCUGCACCUGGAGAGGGAGCCAAAGAGGGGGAAACUGAGCAAGAGGAGCAGAAGAGUGGAGCUGUGCUCACCGAAGAGGUGGAGCCAUCCCAGACAUGCAUCAAGGCAGAGCCACGAGCAGAGUUGCCUGAAGCUCAGGAUAACAUUGUGGUAGUGAAGAGGAAGCACGAAGAAGACACAAGAACCAUCCAAGACAAGACGAGAGUUCAUCAGCAGAAGGGCAAUCAACAAGACCAGGAAAGUGAAAGAGUGGCAGCCACUCCAUUCACAAAACUUCCACUCUCUUGCUUUUUACAAGACAUCAAGGAAAAGCUGCAAGCCCGGCUGCAUGAAACCAAAGCUAAGUUCAACGCAAGGGAGAAGUUGAUGGAGGAAGAAAUGCAAACUAUCAGAGAGAAAUUUAGUCCCCUCCCUCAGACUCUACAGAAGCAAGUGGAAGUGUUGACAUCUCACGAGCCAGGUUGCGAAGGCUUCCAACAAAUGAGUGGAGAUGAAGAGUCCCGAGGUGGAUGUGAGGCACAAGAACGGCCAAAAUCAGAGAAGAUCUACACAGGCUCUGUCACUGAAGGUGCUGCAGGAGGCUCCUGCAGCCUCUGUAAAGAGGCAUUUGUUCCCCAACCUGAGAAGCGGAGCCCAGGCAGAUUGUUCAUGCCCAGCACUGAUACAGCUGCUGCUCAGCAACACAAGAGCAAGGAUGACUCCCUGGAGCUACUGAGUAUGUCUUGUGUAUUUCUUGUCCAAGGGACAGUGUACUGUGUGCAUGUGCCAGCAAAGCUGUAACAAAUGAUCCUCCACAGUUUGAUGUCACAGGGACAUUUUGGACUCCCCACAGGAACUGCUGUAGAGAAUGAGACUCUGUGCUGCCCGUCUGUCUGUGCUGCAGAGCUGUCUGUGUGGUUGCUGUUGCUGUUACCCAGCCACAAAGGGUUCAGAGCCCCAGGCACUGGGGCUGCCUUUUGUAUCUCCUGGAAGCUGGGAUCUCUGCUUUAAAGUGAGCAUCUUGCAUUUUGUUUCCCUCAGGAAAAAUGGUGAACAUGGAAAAUCCCAGGACGAAGUAUACUGAACUGGAAAAUAUUGGCAGUGGGUGAGUCCAACCCCAGUUACUUCUCCAAAACCAUGGGCCAGGUGGUUUCACUGGUGGAAUAUCUACCAAGUAUGAAGACAGACAAGCUGCAAACAUGUUCAGACACUGGGGAUAGAUUGUCCCAUCUCUCUCAGUGCUGGCUCAAAUUGGCAAGUGUGGUCAGAAAACAUUGUCAAAGACAUCUCCAUGCUGCCAUGGUCUUGCCUGCAGCAGGAGGAGGACGUGGAAGAAGACAGCCGUGUCUCUCAAGUGUGGGACAGCUCUGUGGUAAUUUCUUUAGCGUUUUUGCAUAUCUCCAAAUCAUACAUCCACACUAAUAAAAGGAGAAAAAGCUAC